This 800-nucleotide long non-coding RNA is filed under the name Vitis vinifera (wine grape). RNAcentral's name for it is "long non-coding RNA (VVIN_LNC001558)". Lineage: Eukaryota; Viridiplantae; Streptophyta; Magnoliopsida; Vitales; Vitaceae. The record is from RNAcentral.
UCAAGCAAACCUAAGAUCAAGAAAAUGAGUUUGAAUACCUAAAUUAGUGUCCAAAAAAUACAAAGAAGAAGAUGAGGUCAGAGGUGACGUACAAGAAUUGAUGUCAAGAAGAAUGGGAGCGGGGUGGAAAUGAAAUCAAAAGACUUAGUGAGCAAUCCACCUAGAGACCAGUCAACCAUCUCAUGAGUUUCAAGGCUGAUAAUGACAAGAUCCCCCUAUUUGCGCUGGCCUCGUACACCCCUCAGGAAUCGAUGCUUCCUACAUCAUUAUUUGUUUAAUCUCUUAAUGUUUAUAUAUAGUGGAAGAUGUACCAGAGCCCAUGAUUUGUCGAUUUGUUACAUGGGUUUUUCUACCGUAUGAACACCCAUUCAUCCAAUCUCAUUCACUCCAUGCCAUUUUUCAACCAUAACCAUUUUUUCUUUUUAAAUUUCAUUUUUUUUAAAUAAUAAUAAUUUUUUUAAAAAAAUUAAGAUAUGAAAAAAAUUUAUCAUCUAAAAUUUUAAUUCCUGUAAAAAUAUAUAUAUGAAAGUCUCUACAUUUCUUUUUAGUAUUCAUCCAUAUCACUUUUCAAUCAUUCGCAAUCUUUUUUCCUUUUUAAGCUGUCUUUCUUUACUAUUCAUCCUAACUUUUAAGUGUUGAUUUUCUUUAUAUUUUUACCAUUCAUCUUGCCACUUUUCAAUCAUCCGCAUCUUUCUUUCUUUCUUUCUUUCUUCUUCUUUUUUUUUUUUUCUAAAUGUUUGUUUGGAUAUAAUAUUUGUUUUCCAUUCUAAUAAUAGUAAAAUUUAUUUACUUAAAAUGAA